This is an RNA transcript of Osmerus eperlanus (European smelt), 4111 nucleotides long. It is a transcript of the gene named RAP1 GTPase activating protein 2a, with no coding region annotated. Lineage: Eukaryota; Metazoa; Chordata; Actinopteri; Osmeriformes; Osmeridae. The record is from RefSeq and is a predicted model, not a curated record. The transcript has 23 exons.
GGAAGAGAGAGAUACAGAAACAGAGGAAGAGAGUGCGUGUGAGAAGCAGAGAGGUAGACAGAGAUGCUGAGCCACAUUCACUGUGUCUGUGAGGCUGAGUGUGGCAGAACGCUUCUGAUUAGGAACCACAGAACAAUCAGUGCUGAUAGAAAAAGGACCUACAGAACCUAAUCUGGUACCCUGGAUGACACGCUGGUUCGACAACAUUGUGAUAUUCCACUGCUAGAAUUGACCAUCAUAACCUGCGGGCUUACGGAACGUGAUUUGGAACUUAAAAUAGAGACACAUCGCAGGCUGGUAGGGAAGUCUGAGGACCUUGCCAGCUUCCAGAACCAGACAAGAACCAUGUCGGAGCCCAGCGGGAGGGUCCACUCCAAGAAGGCCGGGAUCAGAGCUGCUGUGAUCCUGAUCGGACUUCUUCACAAGUCCAGACGGGCCAAGGAGAGAGAGAGGGAGAAGGAAAGAGAGAGGGAGAGAGAGAAAGAGAGAGAACAGAAGCAGGAACUCCUGACCAUUUCCAACGUCCCCCUGGGAGACUGCCCCCCCUCGCCCCCCCGCACCGCCCCGCCAUCUAUGAAGUCUGCAGAGUUCUUCGACAUGUUGGAGAGGAUGCAGGUCCCCAAACCUGAGGAGACUAAAGGAAGUACGCAGAAACACAAGGAUGAUUACAUCCCAUACCCAAGAAUAGAAGACGUCCUUGAGAAGGGGGGUCCGUACCCUCAGGUGAUCCUUCCCCAGUUCGGGGGCUACUGGAUCGAGGAUGCGGAGGCCGCGGCGGGCACCCCCACCUCGUCAGAGAGCAGCUUCUGUGAGGACGACGAUGGGGGGGGCAUGAGUCCUGGGGGGGGCUUCGGCUUCCGCCUGGAGUGUAACAGCACAGCCAGGGCUUUCCGCAAACAUUUCCUAGGCAGGGAGCAUAUGAACUACUACUGUACAGGCAGCAGCCUGGGGAAUCUGAUCAUGUCCUUGAAGCAUGAGGAGGCUGAAGGACAGGAGUUCCUACGCAUCAUUCUCAGGUCCCGGACCAAGACCCACCACGACCGGAUCUCUUUGGCUGGGCUCAGCCAGCUUCCUAGCGUCCCCCAGAUUGCCAAGCUGCUGUGUGAUGACGUCACAGGACUGAAGUUUAAUCCCGCCCUCUACCCCCGGGGUUCCCAGCUUGUAGUGGCCUACGACGAACACGAGGUGAACAAUACCUUCAAGUUUGGCGUCAUCUACCAGAAGUUCGGACAGACGUCGGAGGAGGAGUUGUUUGGGAACAGCGAGGAGACUCCAGCCUUCAGAGAGUUCCUCAGUGUUCUUGGAGACAACAUCGAGCUGCACGAUUUCAAAGGGUUCCGAGGUGGUCUGGACGUGUCUCACGGCCAGACGGGUUCCGAGUCCGUCUACACAGUGUUCCGUCAGAGAGAGAUCAUGUUCCACGUCUCAACCAAGCUACCCUUCACCGAAGGGGACAUACAGCAGCUCCAAAGGAAGAGGCACAUAGGAAAUGACAUUGUGGCGGCCGUCUUCCAGGAAGAGGCCACGCCCUUUGUGCCGGACAUGAUUGCCUCCAACUUCCUGCAUGCAUAUGUGCUGGUUCAGGCAGAAAACCCCUGCACAGAACAUACAACCUACAAGGUGUCUGUUACAGCGAGGGAGGACGUUCCUACUUUUGGCCCACCUCUCCCCAACCCAGCAGUUUUCAAGAAGGGCCCUGAGUUCCGUGACUUCCUGCUGACAAAGCUGAUCAAUGCUGAGAACGCCUGCUACAAGUCUGACAAGUUCGCUAAACUGGAGGGGCGAACACGGGCUGCAUUGCUGGAUAAUCUGCAUGACGAGUUGCACAGACAAACCCAGGCUACUUUGGGGCUGGGCCAGGCGGGGGAGGAGGACAGGCUGGAGAACGGAGGACACGGGGGACUGCUGGAGUCCUUCAAGAGGGCCAUGCGUGUGAGGAGCCACUCCAUGGAGACUAUGGUGGGCUCCCAUCGUCACCGUAGCCCAGGAGGGGGAGUCCCAGCCAGCCUCAGUGGAGGGGGGCUCCCACAAAGCUCCAGCGAGUGCACCAAGAGCACCUUCACGGUCAGUCAGCCUCCAGGGCUGUCUGCCAAGUCUCCCAUGAAGAGUCCGGUCAAGCGUCGCUCUGGCCUCUUCCCCCGCCUCCACUCCAGCACUGAGACCCCCACAGAGAGGCACCCACGCAGCGAUGCAAAGACACCCGAAAUCUGCCCGCUGUCGCAGGAAAUGCGAUCGGAGACAUCUUCGAACCCGAGCUCACCAGAGAUCUGUCCCAACAAGGAGAGGCCGUUUGUCAAGCUGAAGGAGUUUAGCAGCAGCAGCAGCAGACCCAACAUCUCCCGCUCCUCCUCCUCCACCAGCAGCUUCAGCAGCACCACGGGAGAGACAGAGGCCCUGGAGGAUCUUGAAACAUCGGCCAGCCACCUUGCCAAUGCCUCCUCAUCCAUCUUCAGCCCAUCUCUCAGUGUUGAGAGCCAAAGCUCUGGAACCCCAGUGAUCAUGUGCCGCAGUCCUACUGUUGAAUGUCCAUCCAGAUGUGAAGACUAAAACAUCGCCCAGGUCAAAUUUGAAGUUCCGCUUCGACAAGCUGAGCCACUCCACUACAUCAGAGUAGCCGGACAAGUGCCUGGUGACAAAAGAAAUACUGGAAAAUGGUGGCUGAUGGAGAAAAAAAACACCAAUAACUGCAACAACAAAAUAACAACAACAGAAACAGCAUACCACAAUGGAAUCACUAAACCAAGCAGGCUACCAUUUCACUCCUCAACACAAGCCAACCUCACAGAGGUGGUUGGUGGAAGCGUUUUCUUGUUGUGAGGUACACAGUUGGAUUAUAUGAAGAGUGACCUGCAGCCAUUAGCUCAGCAAGAUAAUACAGUCUGAUGAUACACAGACAGGGGUCACAUCCUUCUAGGUCCACCCACCUACAGGUCAGGUCUACAGUCUUCAUAGCAAAGAGGCUGAUGGGUGUGUUUAGCUGUUGUUUUUGUCGUUCCUUGUUUUCAGGCUGGUCCUUCUCUCUCUCCCUUUGGGUAUUUACGUCUGCAAAAAUGCUACUGAACAUAGAUUGGAUCAUCUUAGCUAUCAGUAUUUCUGUGGUCAAGAUUGUCUGAUGGUGAGAACUAGAACUAUGGUCAAAAAUACCUUUGCUGGAAAACACUCUGUCAUACUGUAUGCUUUGUUUAGCCAAAUUUGCGCUUUACAAUCUAUGAAAUCCCCUUGUUAACUUGUGUUCUCACUAUGUGAGAGGCUGAACAGAUAGGUUACCUCACUAUGGUUGUUGCAAUUCCCUAAACAUUUCACUGCAAGUAUACUACCCACAUUGUCAUAACAAAAUAUCUAUAUUUGUGGUACAGUAGUUUGCAACAACUUUUCACAUCUGAUUCAACCGCAUUCGUAAUGCUACAUUUGAAAACUCUUUACUUCUGAAUGUCAUUUCAAAUGAACUUGCCUUGUUCUGAAUCUUUGAUUUAAUGCUUUGUGAUUUGAGAUUUAUUUUCAAGUCUUAAGUGGUAGCAAAUAACAAAAACAGUGGCUAUUACGGAGGCAGAAACCAUAGCUUGUAGCAUUGUAUUCCCAAAAUAAUACUUAAUUAUUUAUUGUGACAAUACUGGGAAACAAAUGAAUCAUGUUUGAAUGUAUUUACCAAGAAAUGUUUGGAGAUACAUAAAUUACUGUCCAUGUGACCAAAAAAGUCAUCUAUAUUUAUAGAACUUUGGGAGAAUUUCAAUGUACUAAAAGAUACAGAGAUCCAUUCCGACUAAUGGAAUAGGUUAGUUCUUAAGAGUUCAGUUACGUAUGUGAAACAUGAAACUCAAACCCAGGAAGUUCGUCAGAAAAGGAAGUUGGAUAUGGCUCUUUGUUUUAGUGGGCAUUUACCAGGAGCCUUCCCCUGCAGCCUUCACACUGUUAAUACACCCUUAAUUUAUUGAUAAUUGUUUGCAUUGAUGUCAAAUGUACAAAGCUGUAACUGCAUAGUAAAUUAAAGAGGUUAAUAGGAAAAAGGAAAUGUUAUUAAGAAGUCUAUAUACGUCUAUAUGUAUAUUUCGUUAUGUAAUGUGCCAUUAAGAAUUUAUUAUGAAAUAAAAUGGUGUAUUUUGUGUCAAUUAGA